Molecule: unclassified non-coding RNA, 219 nt
Filed under: Hevea brasiliensis (rubber tree)
Lineage: Eukaryota; Viridiplantae; Streptophyta; Magnoliopsida; Malpighiales; Euphorbiaceae
Source: RNAcentral
GGAGAAUUGGGAGUGACUCACAUUUGGGAGAUGUUUACAAAAAGGCUGUCCCUUGUAAGGACUUGGUGCCCUUGGUUGUGGACAUUCUUGUUAAACAUUUUGGGGCUGUACCAAGGGAAAGGGAGGAAGAAGAAGAGGAUUAAGUUAUAAGGCUGGUUGUAUCUUUCAAGUUUGGAGUCUUUGGACAUAUUGGAAGACAUUUUACAAAGAAGAAAUUUG